Long non-coding RNA from Brienomyrus brachyistius, 238 nucleotides. RefSeq lists it as uncharacterized. The transcript is spliced from 3 exons. The record is from RefSeq and is a predicted model, not a curated record. Lineage: Eukaryota; Metazoa; Chordata; Actinopteri; Osteoglossiformes; Mormyridae.
UGAGGAAUACCCCUUGCAGCUGUUCUGUGCUGAUGGCGAGUACAAUUCCAUGGCCACGAUCGUCUUCAACACCCCCGGAGAGGAGUGUCCGCAGCCUGUUCCACAGCCCCGCAGGUUCCUACAAUCCCGUGACCCUGGGAAUCUUCACCAUCACCUACUUCUUCCUGGCCUGCUGGACAUACGGCCUGACUGUGUCCGCCGGGGUCUUCAUCCCCUCACUGCUCAUCGGCGCCGCCUG